GACGAACGCUGGCGGCGUGCUUAACACAUGCAAGUCGAGCGGUAAGGCCUUUCGGGGUACACGAGCGGCGAACGGGUGAGUAACACGUGGGUGAUCUGCCCUGCACUUCGGGAUAAGCCUGGGAAACUGGGUCUAAUACCGGAUAUGACCUCCUAUUGCAUGGUGGGGGGUGGAAAGAUUUAUCGGUGCAGGAUGGGCCCGCGGCCUAUCAGCUUGUUGGUGGGGUAAUGGCCUACCAAGGCGACGACGGGUAGCCGACCUGAGAGGGUGACCGGCCACACUGGGACUGAGACACGGCCCAGACUCCUACGGGAGGCAGCAGUGGGGAAUAUUGCACAAUGGGCGAAAGCCUGAUGCAGCGACGCCGCGUGAGGGAUGACGGCCUUCGGGUGGUAAACCUCUUUCAGCAGGGACGAAGCGCAAGUGACGGUACCUGCAGAAGAAGCACCGCAA
This 453-nucleotide ribosomal RNA is filed under the name Rhodococcus qingshengii. RNAcentral's name for it is "bacterial SSU rRNA". It matches the Rfam family "Bacterial small subunit ribosomal RNA", at positions 28 to 499 of the family's 1533-position model. Lineage: Bacteria; Bacillati; Actinomycetota; Actinomycetes; Mycobacteriales; Nocardiaceae. The record is from RNAcentral.